CCUACGGGCGUGCUGCAGUGGGGAAUAUUGGGCAAUGGAGGCAACUCUGACCCAGCAACGCCGCGUGAGCGAUGAAGGUCUUCGGAUUGUAAAGCUCUUUAAGCGGGGACGGAGAAAGUGACUGUACCCGCAGAAUAAGCCUCGGAUAACUACGUGCUAGCAGCCGCGGUAAUACGUAGGAGGCAAGCGUUAUCCGGUAUGACUGGGCGUAAAGGGUGCGUAGGUGGUUUGGCAAUUUGGUAGCGUAAUCCCGGGGUUCACCCUCGGUGCUACUACCAAAACUGUUGAACUUGAGUGCAGUAGGGGUGAAUUGAAUUCCCAUUGUAGCGGUGGAAUGCGUAGAUAUUGGGAAGAACACCAGCGGCGAAGGCGAUUCACUGGACUGUAACUGACACUGAGGCACGAAAGCGUGGGGAGCAAACAGGAUUAGAUACCCCAGUAGUC
RNAcentral lists this ribosomal RNA (444 nucleotides) under uncultured bacterium. RNAcentral's name for it is "partial 16S ribosomal RNA". It matches the Rfam family "Bacterial small subunit ribosomal RNA", at positions 338 to 795 of the family's 1533-position model. The record is from RNAcentral.